UACGUAGGGGACAAGCGUUAUCCGGAUUUACUGGGUGUAAAGGGAGCGUAGACGGCAGAGCAAGUCUGAAGUGAAAGCCCGCGGCCCAACUGCGGGACUGCUUUGGAAACUGCCCGGCUAGAGUGCUGGAGAGGUAAGCGGAAUUCCUAGUGUAGCGGUGAAAUGCGUAGAUAUUAGGAGGAACACCAGUGGCGAAGGCGGCUUACUGGACAGUAACUGACGUUGAGGCUCGAAAGCGUGGGGAGCAAACAGG
Molecule: ribosomal RNA, 253 nt
Filed under: uncultured bacterium
Lineage: Bacteria
Description: partial 16S ribosomal RNA
Rfam family: Bacterial small subunit ribosomal RNA
Source: RNAcentral